ACAGAGGGUGCGAGCGUUAAUCGGAAUUACUGGGCGUAAAGCGCGCGUAGGCGGCUUUGCAAGUCGGGUGUGAAAUCCCCAGGCUUAACCUGGGAACUGCGUUCGAGACUGCAUUGCUAGAGUAUGGGAGAGGGAAGUGGAAUUUCCGGUGUAGCGGUGAAAUGCGUAGAUAUCGGAAGGAACAUCUGUGGCGAAGGCGACUACCUGGACCAGCACUGACACUGAGGCACGAAAGCGUGGGGAGCAAACAGGA
This 253-nucleotide ribosomal RNA is filed under the name uncultured prokaryote. RNAcentral describes it as "partial 16S ribosomal RNA". It matches the Rfam family "Bacterial small subunit ribosomal RNA", at positions 525 to 777 of the family's 1533-position model. The record is from RNAcentral.